GACGAACGCUGGCGGCGCGCCUAACACAUGCAAGUCGAACGAGCGAGAGAGAGCUUGCUUUCUCAAGCGAGUGGCGAACGGGUGAGUAACGCGUGAGGAACCUGCCUCAAAGAGGGGGACAACAGUUGGAAACGACUGCUAAUACCGCAUAAGCCCACGACCCGGCAUCGGGUAGAGGGAAAAGGAGCAAUCCGCUUUGAGAUGGCCUCGCGUCCGAUUAGCUAGUUGGUGAGGUAACGGCCCACCAAGGCGACGAUCGGUAGCCGGACUGAGAGGUUGAACGGCCACAUUGGGACUGAGACACGGCCCAGACUCCUACGGGAGGCAGCAGUGGGGAAUAUUGCACAAUGGGGGAAACCCUGAUGCAGCGACGCCGCGUGGAGGAAGAAGGUCUUCGGAUUGUAAACUCCUGCUGUUGAGGAAGAUAAUGACGGUACUCAACAAGGAAGUGACGGCUAACUACGUG
Molecule: ribosomal RNA, 466 nt
Filed under: uncultured bacterium
Lineage: Bacteria
Description: partial 16S ribosomal RNA
Rfam family: Bacterial small subunit ribosomal RNA
Source: RNAcentral